UAUAACCCCUUUUGUGUAUUUAUAUAUUGUUUUUUAAUUUUAUGGAAUACAUAAUAAUGUGAGUAUUUUGGACAAAAUAUAGAUUAAGAAUCCGAGUAAAAAACAAAAAUCAAAGAGAGUGAUACUGCCAUUCCUAUUUCAAAAAAAAAAAAAAAAUUUGUUUCUAACCCUUCAGCACGCGAGCCCUGAAACCAUAUCGACUGCUAGUUUCAGUGAUAAAUAAAACUAUGGCAAGAUUAUUUUAGAGCCUAGCACUGGAUCAGAAACAAGCAUUCUUGAGAAUUCUCUCUUAUUCAUAGAGAAACAAGGGAGAAGAAACUCCCUCUUAUAACACAUUACAGCAUUUUUUUCUCGGGCUUAUGAUUAUUCACUCCACCUAUAUUGCUGCCUUCCUUCGAGUCCCUUCUCAUUUUUCUUUUUCUGUACAUCAGAAGAAUCCAAAUCAUCAGCUUCUUUAGGGGAAGAUGUGAAGAAAAAGCACCCAGUUAUUAGCUAUCUGUUGCUGAUAAUCAAGUAAUGGUAUCUUUGAGAACACCAUUUUCUUUUACUGGUCCAACAUCUUCACGCAUGUUUUUGUUAAUUUAGCUGACGAAGAACACGUCGCAAGCAAGGUUCUAUACAAACCAUGACUCUCUAUCCCUAAAAUAUACCUCUGGGCUGUAAGGGUAAAAGGGUCAAAGGCAAAGCCAGGAAUUUUGUAAAGUUAUUCCUAAUUCCGCAUCCUUCUAGGGUAUUGUGAGGUAGAGAAUUUGUUUCAUGGCCCGCCCCUUUAAGAAGAGGGUUUUGUGUGAAAUCUUGCUUAUUAUCAGUAAGACCAAGAAUCCAGAGAUACAAGGAUGGAGGCCAGGCAACAAGUAGGAUGGUGGCUGCCUGUGCUGUCUGGACACCCAUGACAUGAUUAGAGAAAACUGUAAAAUAAGUUUUAAAUAGGCAAAAAAAAAAAAAAACCCUCCAAAAGAUGCUUGCAGAUGAAUUUGUCAUCUUUUAGGCCCAGUUAAAGAGGGAAACCGGAUGGUUAUUCUUUGCUGAUUGAACAGCUAGUGCAGUUGUCCAACCAUGAUUUAAGAGAUAUGCUCGUGAACUUCUAUAAUUCAAAAUAUUUACGGUGCUUACAAAAUAUAACCAGUAGUUAUAUCCUAUAAGUACUCUCUAAACUUAAGGACCCACCAAAAAUGACAAGAUUAUUUAUAUAUUUCUUUUCCUUUAAAGUGGCAUAAAGAGUAACUAUUUGGGUGUCACUAGUUGCUGUUCGGGCACUAUAAAAUUUCUCCAUCUCUAGGGAUGCCAAGGUGAGAGGCAAUGCAAUUAAAGAAUCAGACCACAUGCAGCUAAAUUGGUUCAUUGACAUCUUAAUUAUUACUGUUAGAUUUAACAGAUAAGCAAUAGCAUGUCUUAUUGCUACAGCAAGUUGGAUGAAAUAAUGGCCAAAGAUACAGCACAUAAUAUGUUCAAACAAACCACACAAAGAAUGGAAUCAAACAAAAAAGUGACACUGAAGUUUGGAAUAUUAACAAAAUUAGUCACCCAUAAGCAAAAUCAUCCAAUUCUCCCAAAAGUUCUAUGUUCAUAAUACCAAAGGUAGAAAGAAAAUGCCAAACAUCAAUGAGAUGAUGCUAACAAGCCAAGCUACUGGACAAGAAACAGAGCAAACAAGUAGACAUUAA
This is a long non-coding RNA of Populus euphratica (Euphrates poplar), 1664 nucleotides long. RefSeq lists it as uncharacterized. NCBI's taxonomy places the organism in Eukaryota, Viridiplantae, Streptophyta, Magnoliopsida, Malpighiales, Salicaceae. The transcript has 2 exons. The record is from RefSeq and is a predicted model, not a curated record.